UAGGGAAUCUUCCACAAUGGACGCAAGUCUGAUGGAGCAACGCCGCGUGAGUGAAGAAGGCUUUCGGGUCGUAAAACUCUGUUAUUGAAGAAGAACGUGUGUGACAGUAACUGGUCAUGCAGUGACGGUAUUCAAUCAGAAAGUCACGGCUAACUACGUGCCAGCAGCCGCGGUAAUACGUAGGUGGCAAGCGUUGUCCGGAUUUAUUGGGCGUAAAGCGAGUGCAGGCGGUCUUUUAAGUCUGAUGUGAAAGCCUUCGGCUUAACCGAAGAAGGGCAUCGGAAACUGGGAGACUUGAGUGCAGAAGAGGAGAGUGGAACUCCAUGUGUAGCGGUGAAAUGCGUAGAUAUAUGGAAGAACACCAGUGGCGAAGGCGGCUCUCUGGUCUGUAACUGACGCUGAGGCUCGAAAGCGUGGGUAGCAAACAGGAUUAGAUACCCUGGUAGUCCACGCCGUAAACGAUGAGUACUAAGUGUUGGAGGGUUUCCGCCCUUCAGUGCUGCAGCUAACGCAUUAAGUAUUCCGCCUGGGGAGUACGAC
This 540-nucleotide ribosomal RNA is filed under the name uncultured bacterium. RNAcentral describes it as "partial 16S ribosomal RNA". It matches the Rfam family "Bacterial small subunit ribosomal RNA", at positions 355 to 886 of the family's 1533-position model. The record is from RNAcentral.